Gorilla gorilla gorilla (western lowland gorilla) is the source of this 10330-nucleotide RNA transcript. It is a transcript of the gene named RIC1 homolog, RAB6A GEF complex partner 1, with no coding region annotated. The record is from RefSeq and is a predicted model, not a curated record. Lineage: Eukaryota; Metazoa; Chordata; Mammalia; Primates; Hominidae. The transcript is spliced from 27 exons.
CCCACUUGCCUCGGAGUCUCAGGCCGUUGCCCAGGUCCUCCCGGUAAAACCCUGGAGAUUGCUAGGGAGAGGAGCAAGGGAGGGGCCAGCGCGCAGAAGUGCGGACGCAAGCCGGCGGCCGCGGGCGAGACUUAUGCGUAGCUUCAAGAAACAGCUAGGGAGACUGCAGGAGUCUCCAGAGCGCGCGCGCGGGCCCUCCCCGGCCCGACCCACGCGGCGCGGCGUGGUGACGCCCGCGCGGCCUGAGGAAGGGGCGGGGUCGGGGCGGGCCUCCGCGCUCCUCCCGCCCUCUGUGUGUCCCUACUCUCCCUCCCCUUCCCUCCCCCACACUCGGCCCCUUCAGCUUGGGGGUGCCUUCGUCGCGCAGCCUCGCGUCGGCCCGGCCCGGCCAGGCCAGCGGGCAGAUGCCCCGAGCUGCCGCCGCCGCCGCCGCCGACUCGGCCGGUGGGGGUGUGGGAGGUGGGCGACCAGCCCGGGGCCGCUGAGUGUGACGGACGCAACUGGGGGCGCCGGGGGCUCCGCACGGACCAUGUAUUUUCUGAGCGGCUGGCCCAAGAGGCUGCUGUGCCCUCUGGGAAGCCCGGCCGAGGCGCCUUUCCACGUUCAGUCCGACCCGCAGAGGGCUUUCUUCGCCGUGCUGGCCGCGGCCCGCCUCAGCAUCUGGUACAGCCGACCUAGUGUGUUAAUUGUAACCUACAAGGAGCCUGCAAAAUCAUCUACUCAGUUUGGAUCCUACAAACAAGCUGAAUGGAGGCCAGAUAGUACCAUGAUAGCUGUAUCAACGGCAAAUGGAUACAUCUUGUUUUUUCAUAUUACAUCUACAAGAGGGGACAAGUACCUUUAUGAACCAGUGUAUCCCAAAGGAAGUCCACAAAUGAAGGGGACACCCCAUUUUAAGGAAGAACAGUGUGCUCCAGCAUUAAAUUUAGAGAUGAGGAAAAUACUGGAUUUACAAGCACCCAUCAUGAGUUUGCAGUCUGUGUUGGAAGAUCUCCUGGUUGCUACUUCUGAUGGACUUCUUCAUCUUAUUCACUGGGAAGGAAUGACAAAUGGAAGGAAAGCCAUUAAUCUUUGCACAGUACCCUUUUCAGUAGACCUGCAGUCAUCUAGAGUAGGUUCAUUCCUGGGCUUCACAGACGUACACAUCAGAGACAUGGAAUACUGUGCCACACUUGAUGGGUUUGCUGUUGUAUUUAAUGAUGGUAAAGUUGGAUUUAUUACACCAGUGUCAAGUAGAUUUACUGCAGAGCAGCUUCAUGGAGUUUGGCCACAAGAUGUUGUUGACGGAACGUGUGUAGCAGUAAAUAACAAGUAUCGACUAAUGGCAUUUGGCUGUGUGAGUGGUUCUGUGCAGGUCUAUACAAUAGAUAACAGCACUGGAGCCAUGCUGCUAUCUCAUAAAUUAGAGCUAACAGCAAAACAGUAUCCUGACAUUUGGAAUAAAACAGGAGCUGUUAAAUUGAUGAGAUGGUCUCCUGACAAUAGUGUUGUAAUAGUGACCUGGGAAUACGGAGGCCUUUCUUUAUGGAGUGUUUUUGGAGCACAGCUGAUUUGUACACUUGGAGGAGAUUUUGCUUAUAGGUCUGAUGGCACCAAAAAAGAUCCCCUUAAGAUCAACUCUAUGAGCUGGGGUGCAGAAGGCUAUCACCUAUGGGUAAUCAGCGGAUUUGGUUCUCAAAACACUGAAAUUGAGUCUGACCUCAGGAGUGUAGUUAAACAGCCCAGCAUCCUGUUAUUUCAGUUUAUUAAGAGUGUACUCACUGUAAACCCUUGUAUGAGUAACCAAGAGCAGGUGUUGCUUCAGGGUGAGGAUCGCUUGUACUUGAACUGUGGAGAGGCUUCACAAACCCAGAAUCCCAGGAGUUCUUCAACACACUCUGAGCAUAAGCCCAGUCGAGAAAAGAGCCCAUUUGCAGAUGGAGGUUUAGAGUCUCAGGGAUUAAGCACUUUACUUGGACAUCGGCAUUGGCAUGUUGUACAGAUUUCCAGCACCUAUCUAGAGAGCAAUUGGCCUAUACGGUUUUCAGCUAUUGAUAAGCUUGGACAGAAUAUUGCUGUGGUUGGCAAGUUUGGUUUUGCACAUUACUCUUUACUCACCAAAAAAUGGAAACUUUUUGGAAACAUUACCCAGGAGCAAAAUAUGAUCGUGACAGGUGGCUUAGCCUGGUGGAAUGAUUUUAUGGUCCUUGCGUGUUAUAACAUAAAUGACCGUCAAGAAGAGCUUAGAGUAUACUUGCGAACAUCAAAUCUGGACAAUGCCUUUGCUCAUGUCACCAAAGCACAAGCAGAAACAUUACUGCUUAGUGUCUUCCAGGACAUGGUAAUAGUAUUUAGAGCAGACUGUUCAAUAUGCCUUUACAGUAUUGAAAGAAAAUCUGAUGGUCCAAAUACUACUGCUGGUAUUCAGGUUCUUCAGGAGGUUUCCAUGUCACGCUACAUUCCUCACCCUUUCCUGGUGGUGUCUGUCACUCUGACAUCAGUGAGUACAGAGAAUGGAAUCACCUUGAAAAUGCCACAGCAGGCUCGUGGUGCAGAGAGCAUUAUGUUAAACCUGGCAGGACAGCUCAUCAUGAUGCAGAGGGACAGGUCAGGCCCACAGAUCCGGGAGAAGGACAGUAACCCUAAUAACCAAAGGAAACUUCUGCCAUUCUGUCCUCCUGUUGUACUAGCCCAGUCUGUUGAAAAUGUCUGGACAACGUGUCGAGCAAAUAAACAGAAACGUCACCUUCUGGAGGCCCUCUGGCUGAGCUGUGGUGGUGCAGGGAUGAAAGUUUGGCUCCCUCUCUUCCCUAGGGAUCACCGCAAGCCCCAUUCCUUCUUGUCCCAGCGGAUCAUGCUGCCUUUCCACAUCAACAUUUACCCACUAGCUGUUCUGUUUGAAGAUGCUUUAGUCCUUGGUGCUGUCAAUGACACUUUGCUCUAUGAUUCUUUAUAUACUCGGAACAAUGCUAGAGAACAGCUGGAGGUGCUCUUCCCUUUCUGUGUUGUGGAGAGAACCUCUCAGAUCUACCUCCACCACAUUCUACGUCAACUUCUGGUCAGAAACCUUGGGGAGCAAGCCUUGCUCUUGGCCCAGUCCUGUGCCACAUUACCUUACUUCCCUCAUGUGCUGGAGCUCAUGCUCCAUGAAGUACUGGAAGAAGAAGCUACCUCACGGGAGCCCAUUCCCGACCCUCUGCUUCCCACUGUGGCAAAAUUUAUCACUGAGUUCCCCCUCUUCCUGCAGACAGUUGUCCAUUGUGCCAGGAAGACCGAAUAUGCCCUGUGGAAUUACCUUUUUGCAGCUGUUGGAAACCCUAAGGACUUGUUUGAGGAAUGUUUGAUGGCUCAGGAUUUGGACACAGCUGCCUCUUACCUUAUUAUCUUACAGAAUAUGGAAGUCCCUGCAGUAAGUAGGCAACAUGCUACCCUUCUAUUCAACACAGCACUAGAACAAGGCAAGUGGGACCUUUGUCGACACAUGAUUCGAUUUCUUAAAGCCAUUGGCUCUGGAGAAUCUGAGACACCUCCAUCCACACCCACAGCUCAGGAACCCAGUUCAAGUGGUGGAUUUGAGUUCUUCAGGAAUCGAAGCAUCAGUUUAUCCCAGUCAGCUGAAAAUGUUCCUGCCAGUAAAUUCAGUUUACAGAAAACACUAAGUAUGCCAUCUGGUCCCUCUGGAAAAAGAUGGAGCAAAGACAGUGACUGUGCUGAAAACAUGUAUAUUGACAUGAUGCUCUGGAGACAUGCUCGGCGCCUCUUAGAAGAUGUGAGGUUAAAGGACCUUGGCUGCUUUGCAGCCCAGCUGGGCUUUGAACUAAUUAGUUGGCUAUGCAAGGAACGUACCCGAGCUGCCCGGGUAGACAACUUUGUAAUAGCCCUGAAGAGACUCCACAAAGAUUUCCUGUGGCCACUUCCAAUCAUCCCAGCCUCUUCUAUCAGUUCUCCUUUCAAAAAUGGAAAAUACCGAACGGUGGGAGAGCAGCUGUUAAAGUCUCAAUCAGCUGACCCAUUUUUAAACCUUGAGAUGGAUGCUGGCAUCUCCAACAUCCAGCGAAGUCAGAGCUGGCUCAGCAACAUUGGCCCCACCCAUCAUGAGAUAGACACAGCUUCAUCCCAUGGACCACAAAUGCAAGAUGCCUUCUUGUCACCUUUAUCUAAUAAAGGUGAUGAAUGCAGUAUUGGUUCAGCCACAGACUUGACUGAAAGUAGCUCCAUGGUGGAUGGCGACUGGACAAUGGUGGAUGAAAAUUUCUCUACACUCAGUUUAACUCAGUCAGAGCUGGAGCACAUUUCCAUGGAGUUGGCCAGUAAAGGGCCUCAUAAAUCCCAGGUCCAGCUUCGGUAUUUGCUACACAUUUUCAUGGAGGCAGGGUGCCUAGACUGGUGCAUCGUUAUAGGCCUGAUUCUUAGAGAAUCCUCAAUAAUCAAUCAGAUUUUGGUUAUUACACAGUCUUCAGAGGUAGAUGGAGAGAUGUUACAGAACAUAAAGACAGGGCUCCAUGCAGUGGACCGAUGGGCCUCUACAGACUGUCCUGGAUAUAAGCCAUUUUUAAACAUCAUUAAGCCACAACUGCAGAAGCUCAGUGAGAUAACAGAAGAGCAGGUCCAGCCAGAUGCCUUCCAACCAAUAACUGUGGGUAAGACUCCAGAACAGACUAGCCCCCGGGCAGAGGAGAGCAGGGGCUCCUCCAGCCAUGGAAGCAUCCCCCAGGGUGAAGUUGGAAGCAGCAAUGUGGUCAGCCGGAAAGAGGAGGACACAGCCCAAGCAGAGGAGGAAGAACCUUUUCAGGAUGGGACUUACGACUGUUCUGUGUCCUAACAGUAAGGUUCCAUCACAAAGGGGCAGUAUUAAUUAGCAGCAGCGUGCAACUCAGUACGUUGUAACAUAGUUGGAUGAUUUAACAGGAGAACUCAGUUCAAAGACUCUUUGAUUUAGAAUGAGAGCAUCAAGAGUUGGCAACAUCCUAGAUGCCUGACAGUAAAAUACUGGAGGAAACAUCCCAUGUCGAUGACAUGGAAAAUGUUCAAAAUAUAAUGAAGGAAUGACAGAAAAUUAUGUAUACCUUAAGAUACCUACCAAGCAAACAAAAUUUUACAUGUAAGUAUAUAAUAAGUGGGAUUAAAAAGUACUUUGACUUUUUCCCAUUUUCCUAAUUUCAGUCUCCAUGGAUUUGCCUAUUCUGGACAUUUCAUAUAAAUGGAAACAUAUAGUAUGUGAACUUUUCUAUCUCACUUCUUGGCACCAAAGCAUGUUGUUAUUUUGGCUGUAGCCAUCCAAGUUGUAUAUGAAGUAGUGUCUCAUCAUAGUUUAGAUUUUCAUUUACCUAAUGGUUAAUGUAAAUCUUCUCAUAGGAUUAUUAGCCAUUUGUCUAUUUAUUUUUGAAGAAAAAUGUCUGUUUAAUUAGGUCGUUUAAUUGUUGAUUUGCUGGAGUUCUUUAUAUAUUCUGGAUACUAUUUUAUGUACAUAUAAAUUGCAAAUAUUUCUUCAUUCUGUGGGCUUUUCACUUUUUUAGAUUUCAAUAUUCAAGUUUUUUUUUAAGUAUGUUAAUUACAGCAUUUGAAGGGGAGGAUCUAAUUCCACACAAAAUGGAAGACUCUAAAAUGUACCCAUUAAAUACUGCUAAAAAAAAAAACAAAUUGAGUGGUGAGAAUACAACAGAAGUCUGACUUAGAUUGAGUGUUAUCACCAUGUGAUUACAAUCACACAGACUCUGAAUCAUUUCACUUUCUCGAUAAUGUCCUUUGAAACACUGUUUUUAAGUCCAACUUAUUUUUUCUUUGGUUGCUUGUGCCUAAUCCAGGGUUAUGAAUAUUUAUGACUAAGUUUUAAGAAUUUUAUAGUUAUAUCUCCUACAUUUAGGUCUUUGAUCCAUUUUGAGUUAAUCUUCAUAUAUGAUAUGAAAGAGAGAUCUGACUUCAUUCUUCUAAUGUGGCUAUUCAAUUGUCAGAGCACCAUUUAUGGAAAGGAUUUUUUUCCCAUUGUCAAAAAUCAACUAUAGAUGUAUGGGUUUAUUUAUAGAUUCUUAAUUGUAUUCUAAUGAUCUAUAAUAUCUUCUUAUGCCAAUACCACAUUGCCUUGAUUUCUGUUGCUUUGUAGGAAAUUUUGAAAGUGAGAGUCCUAAGUUUGUUUUUUCUAGGCUGUUUUGGCUAUUCUAGGUCCCUUGUAUUUCCAUAUGAAUUUCAGGAUCAGCUUGUCAAUUUCUAUACUAAAAUAAAGGCAGUUGGGAUUUUCAUAAGUGUUGUAUUCAUGACAUAAAGCAAUGUGGAGAAUAUUGCCAUAUUAAGCCUUCCAGUCCAUGAACAUGAGAUGUCUUUCCAUUUAUUGGUUUUUUAAUGUCUUUUAACAGUGGAUUAUAAUUUUUGCUAAGUCUCAUACUUUUGUUAGAUUUAUUUCUAAGUAUUGCUACUGUAAAAAAAUGGAAUUUUCUGUUUUUGGAUUGUGUAUAUAAAUACAAUUGCUUCUGUAUAUUGACAUUGCAUCAUGCAACAUCAAACUUUUUCUUUUUUGUGGAUUCCUUAGGAUUUUCUACAUUGAAGGUCAUGUUGUUUGCAACCAGAGAUAGUUUGAAUUCUUCCUUUUCAAUCUGGAUGCCUUUUCUUUCUUUCUCCUGCCAAACUCUCCUGGCUAGAGCCACUGGUACAAUGCUUAUUAGGUGGCAAUAGUUGAUAUCCUUGUCUUCUGAUCUUAGGGAGAAGCUUUCUCUCAUCACUAAUUAUGAUGCUAGCUGUGGGUUUUUUAUUGAUAAGCUUUAUCUGGUUGAGGAUGUUGCCUUCUGUAUAGUUUGUCUUUUACAAAAUCCAAAUCCCUUCCAUGAUAAAAACACUCAACAAACAUACAUUGCAUCUAUUGAAGUAGUCACGUGGUUUUUGUCCUUUAUUCUAUUAAUAAAUAUGGUACAUUACACUGAUUUUCAAAUGUUUUUGUUUUAAGACAGAAUUUUGCUCUGUCACCCAUGCUGGAAGGAAGUGGCGCAGUCAUGGCUUGCUGCAGCCUCAACCUCCUGAGCUCAAGCCAUCCUCCUACCUCAGUUUCUAUAGUAGUUGGGCCCACAAGCACACACCACCAUGCCCUGCUAAAUUUUGUGUUUUUAGUAGAGUCAGGGUUUUGCCAUGUUGUCCAGGCCAGUCUCAAACUCCUGGGCUUAAGCAAUCCACCCACCUCGGCCUCCCAAAGUGCUGAAAUUAAGCAUGUGCCACCGCACCUGGCCAACUUUCUGUUAAACCAACCUUGCAUUCCUGGCAUAAAUUCCAUUUGGUCAUGCUGUAGAGCCAAAUUGGAGAAAAAAGAAAUUAUUACCAACAUGUUAUGUUUUUACAAGUCAAAUAUGGAAGUAGAAGUGUCAAAAAAUACAGAUACACUCCAAAAAUCCCUACGUAUUUCAACUAAAAACAGACAUUAAGAGCCGUAGCAACUGGGAUUGCUGGCAAGAUGGCUGAAUAGGAACAGCUCUGGUCUGCAGCUCCCAGCAAGAUCGACACAGAAGGUGGGUGAUUUCUGCAUUUCCAGCUGAGGUACCUGGUUCAUCUCACUGGGACUGGUUGGACAGUGGGUGCAGCCCUGUGAGGGUAAGCCAAAGCCAGGGUAGUUCGUUGCCUCACCUGGGAAGCACAAGGGGUUGGGGAACUCCUCCUCCCAGCCAAGGGAAGCCAUUAGGUACUGUUAGGGACUGUAUCUUGCAAUCCAGCCCAGAUACUGUGCUUUUCCCACAGUCUUUGCAACCCGCAGACCAGGAGAUUCCCUCCAGUGCCCACGCCACCAGGGCCCUGGGUUUCCAGUACAAAACUGGAUGGCUGUUCUGGGCAGACACAAAGCUAGCCGCAGGUUUUUUUUCAUACCCCAGUGGCACCUGAAACACCAGUCAGAACCAUUCACUCCCCUGGAAAGGGGGCUGAAGCUAGGGAGCCAAGUGGUCUGGUUCGGUGGGUCCCACCCCCACAGAGCCCAGCAAGCUAAGAUCCACUGGCUUGAAAUUCUUGCUGCUGGCACAGCAGUCUGAGUUUGACCUGGGAUGCUCCAACAUGGGGGGAGGGGCGUCCACCAUUGCUGAGGCUUGAGUAGGCAGUUUUACCCUCACAGUGUAAACAAAGUCACUGGGAAGUUCAAAAUGGGUGGAGCCCCCUGCAGUUCAGCAAGGCAACUGCAGCCAGACUGCCUCUCUAGAUUCCCUCCUCUCUAGGCAGGGCAACUCUGAAAAAAAGGCAGCAGCCCCAGUCAGGGACGAACAGAUAAAACCCCCACCUCCCUGGGACAGAGCACUUUGGACAAAGGGCAGUUGUGGGCGCAGCUUCAGCGGACUUAUUUAAACGUCCCUGCCUGGCAGCUCUGAAGAGAGCAGCGGAUCUCCCAGCACAGCAUUUGAGCUCUGAUAAAGGACAGAUUAACUCCUCAAGUGGGUCCUCCCAGUAGGUGCCAACAGACACCUCAUACAGGAGAGCUCUAGCUAGCAUCUGGCAGGUACCCCUGUAGGACGAAGCUUCCAGAGGAAGGAACAGGCAGCAAUCUUUGCUGUUCUGCAGCCUUCACCAGUGAUACCCAGGCAAACAGGGUCUGGACUGGACCUCAAGUCAACUCCAGCCAACCUGCAGCAGAGGGCCUGAAUGUAAGAAGGAAAACCACCAAACAGAAAGGAAUACUAUCAACAUCAACAAAAAGGAUGUCCACUCAAGAGAUCCCAGCUGAAGGUCACCAACUUCAAAGGUAGAUAAAUCCAUGAAGAUGAGGAGAAAACAGCACAAAAAGGCUGAAAAUUCCAAAAAGCAGAUCACCUCUUCUCCUCCAAAGGAUCACAACUCCUUGCCAGCAAGGGAACAGAACUGGACAGAGAAUGAGUUUGAUGAAUUGACAGAAGUAAGCUUCAGAAGGUGGGUAAUAACAAACUCCUCCUCCAAGCUAAAGGAGUGUAUGUUCUAACCCAAUGGAAGGAAGCUAAGAACCUUGAAAAAAGGUUAGACAAAUUGCUAACUAGAAUAACUAGUUUACAGAAGAAUAUAAAUGACCUGGUUGAUAGAGCUGAAAACAACAGCACGAGAACUUCAUAAAGCAUACACAGGUAUCAACAGCCGAAUUGAUCAAGUGGAAGAAAGGAUAUCAGAGACUGAAGAUCAACUCAAUGAAAUAAAGCAAGAAGACAAGAUUAGAGAAAAAAAGAGUGAAAAGAAACAAACAAAGCCUCCAAGAAAUAUGGGACUACGUGAAAAGGCCAAAUCUACAUUUGAUUGGUGUACCUGAAAGCAACAGGGACAAUGGAACCAAGUUGGAAAACACUCUUCAGGAUAUUAUUUAGGAGAACUUCCCCAACCUAGCAAGUCAGGCCAACAUUCAAUUCAGGAAAUACAGAGAACGCCACAAAGAUACUCCUCGAGAAGAGCAACCCCAAGACAGAAUCAUGAGAUUCACCAAGGUUGAAAUGAAGGAAAAAAUACUAGGGGCAGCCAGAGAGAGAGGUCAGGUUACCCACAAAGGGAAGCCCAUCAGACUAACAGUGGAUCUCUCAGCAGAAAGUCUACAAGCCAGAAGAGAGUGGGGGCCCAUAUUCAACAUUCUUAAAGAAUUUUCAACCCAGAAUUUCAUAUCCAGCCAAACCGAGCUUCAUAAGCAAAGGAGAAAUAAAGUCCUUUACAGACAAGCAAAUGCUGAGAUGUUUGUCACCACCAGGCCUGCCUUACAAGAGUUCCUGAAGGAAGCACUAAACAUGGAAAUGAACAACCAGUACCAGCCAUUGCAAAAACAUACCAAAUUGUAAAGGCCAUCGACGGUAUGAAGAAACUGCAUCAACUAACAGGCAAAAUAACCAGCCAGCAUCAUAAUGGCAGGAUCAAAUUCACACAUAACAACAUUAACCUUAAAUAUAAAUGCGCUAAAUGCCCCAAUUAAAAGACAUAACUGGACAAAGAGUCAAGACCCAUCAGUGUGGUGUAUUCAGGAGAUGCAUCUCACAUGCAAAGACACACACAUGCUCAAAAUAAAGGGAUGGAGGAAUAUUUACCAAGCAAAUGAAAAGCAAAAAUAAAAGCAGGGGUUGCAAUCCUAGUUUCUGAUAAAACAGACUUUAAACCAACAAAGAUCAAGAGGGACAAAGAAGGCCAUUACAUAAUGGUAAAGGGAUCAAUGCAACAAGAAGAGCUAACUAUCUUAAAUAUAUAUGUACCCAAUACAGGAGCACCCAGAUUUAUAAAGUUCUUAGAGACCUACAAAGAGACUUAGAUUCCCACACAAUAAUGGUGGGAGACUUUAACACCCCACUGUCAAUAUUAGAUCAACAUGAUUGUAUAUUUAGAAAACCCCAUAGUCUCAGCCCAAAGUCUCCUUAAGCUGAUAAGCAACUUCAGCAAAGUCUCAGGAUACAAA